AUUAUAGGUCUUUUUAUUGGAUACACAACUGCAUUUUGGAUAGGAAUUGGAUCUCAGUUUUAUCCUCGACCUUAUGACUUUAGUCCACCAUUACCUAUUUCAAUUGAAAACUGUACUGAAGCUAGGACCAUAUAUCAUAAUUGGACUAGGGUCCUGGAACCACCAGUCCUAAUACCAUGGAAAGCAACUUUGAAAAGUUAUCAAAUGUUAAACUUGUACUGGAUUUCUCACAUGUAUAUAAGUAUGAUUGGGGCAAUGACAACCAUAUUGACAGGAUCAAUUGCCAGCAUUGCAACAGGUGGAAUACACCAGGAUAUUAAGAAAAAAUUAUUACUAAUGAAAGAAGACACAAUACUUUGUUAUUUCAAAAAAGAAGAUGAAGUAGAAGGUUCAGAAAUCACUCAAUUAGCAUGAACACACUGGAAGAAGCUGACAUACCACCUUAAAAAAAUUAAAAGAAAUAAACUAAAAGAAAUAUGAUUUCUUUUGAUUGAGGCAACUCUGAAUGGGUGAAUCCUGUAAAAUGCAUUAUUUUUAUAUUUCCUACAAUAACUAUCAAAUUCAAUCUUCCUAU
This is a long non-coding RNA of Monodelphis domestica (gray short-tailed opossum), 574 nucleotides long. RefSeq lists it as uncharacterized. The record is from RefSeq and is a predicted model, not a curated record. NCBI's taxonomy places the organism in Eukaryota, Metazoa, Chordata, Mammalia, Didelphimorphia, Didelphidae.